ACUAGGUUUAAGUUUUCUUUCUUUCCGCUAUGUGUAGUGUUAUGUUUUUGCGGCCAUUGGUUUUUCAUGUUUUCAUCUCUAAUUCUAUAUUUGAUUAUAUUAGAUGGCGUUCUCUGCUGAUAUUACCUUGGUAGCAUUUAUUUCGGUAAGUCCAAGUAUUGGCAUGUACUUCUGAUUCCCGAUGUUCUUGAAUGCUUUUCUGGAAGUAUUGACCGUGAGAGCUUCUUGUUAUCUCUUCAUAUGGCGAAAGAAGCAGAAAACCCCUUUUAUGACUGGGUUUUAACAGUUUAGGGUGCCUUCGCAGCAAUUAACUAUCUCCAUUUCCAGAAGUAUUACUUAUUUGAGCCCUUCCCUAUUGAGAAGGCUCCUACUCAGAAGAUAACCAUGGAAAAUGGACUUCCAGAUAAUUGGGUUACAAUGUCUGAGUUGUUGAACUAUCCAGUCAGAGCUCUUGUUUUUUAGGGUAAUAGUCAUAUGGGAAGAAAUUACUGGUGAAUUGUAAAUUUCCUUCUAUUUGCAUCUACUCUGGGAUGUCCCAACUUGAAGCAUCUUUCUCUGAUGAUGGACUUGUGGAUACUGUAGGGUAUAACUUUUAUUUUCAUAUAUCCAUUAACCCUUGUCAGGUUUAGGGAUUUUAUUAUUAUUGUUAUCCUAUAAAGAUUUAGAUUUGUAAUUCUUUUUCCUAACUGUUUCUUAAGCAGGAUAUGGAGAUAGUUUAUGUUGCUGAUGAUGAUAACUUUGAGUUGACUGGUUCAACUAGUGCAAAUUUUAUUGUAGGUUGCACGAUUUUUCUAGCCAUUGUUCUUCCUAAGAGAAAAAAUAUCACGAAAGGAGUUCAUAUUUUUAUAAGAUUUUAAUAAGUAAUUUGUUUUAUCUUCUCAUGAAUUCAGUCAAGUUAUGCGUCUGAUGUGUCAAGUUAAGUAUCACGGUGUUUUUGUUGGUGUUUGAAUGAAAUUCUGUAGCUUAUGUGCUUCAAUUGUUGUUAUGUUGGUGGUGUCAUAGCUAGGUUGUCUCAAGAGAGAAAUUGAAUCGCGGAAGGUAGUUUUUCAGUUCCUUCCAUGGCUCAUCUUUUUGUAUUUUAUCUUAGUUUUCUCAUCUUAUAAUUUUUAAUGUUUUCAGAUUCUCCACAGAACACCAUCAACAGAAUCAAACUCAUCAUAAUCAUCACCGUUAUCAUUAGACCUUAGAUAGUAGGCCUGCAGCUGCUCCUGCAUAUGGUGGGCUAGAUACACAGGCCUACAACUGCUCCUGCAUAAUUCCUAUGGAGAUCCAUAUGGUACUGCACUCGUGGAUGCUGCAUAUGGUGGUGCAACUGCUGCUUAUGGUUGUUUAGCUGCUGGAUUUGGUGGUACAACUAUUGCAUAUGGUGGUGACGCUGUUGCAUAUGGUGGUGAUGCUGUUGCAUAUGGUAGUGUGGAUUCCGGUGACAAAGGUGCAACCCUUAUUAGUAGCGAUGGAAUCUUGUAAUAAGUUAUGUCCUUAAAAGAAUUUUGAUUUAACAAAACAAGAAAAAGAAACUUGGGAAACAAAGUCAUUUUCCUUUUCUUCUGUAACUUAUCCAUAGUUUAAUUCUC
Papaver somniferum (opium poppy) is the source of this 1574-nucleotide long non-coding RNA. RefSeq lists it as uncharacterized. The record is from RefSeq and is a predicted model, not a curated record. The transcript has 5 exons. Lineage: Eukaryota; Viridiplantae; Streptophyta; Magnoliopsida; Ranunculales; Papaveraceae.